UCACCGCCGGUCCAGUCAUGACAUUCAAGAUGAGGUUGCGCUCCGCCAUGUACCAGGCCUUCACUUGCAGGUCCAUCGUUGCUAAGGGAGUGUAACGCCCAAGAUGCGGUCCUAUCCUUAUUUUGGCUUGAGGGCCUCGACAGGGAUAGAAACACAUGUGGUCGUUUCGCAAAAAUGGAUAUCGUUACAAGUACAUGUACUGAAAAGAUGAGUAUAAGGAGUUGGCUUACACUUGCUACAAGCUACAUCAGAGUCACAUCAGUACAAUACAUACAAUUAUCAUGAAGAAGAGCAGGGUCCGACUACGGAAGAAAACAAAUGAUAAAAGAACGACGUUCAUCCUUGCUAUCGCAGGCUGCCGACCUGGAACUCAUCCUAGAUCGAUGAAGAAGAAGAGGAAGAAGCUCCAAAUAGCAGAAUCAUAG
RNAcentral lists this long non-coding RNA (425 nucleotides) under Hordeum vulgare. RNAcentral describes it as "long non-coding RNA (HVUL_LNC020171)". The record is from RNAcentral. Lineage: Eukaryota; Viridiplantae; Streptophyta; Magnoliopsida; Poales; Poaceae.